CGGUGCUGAAAUUACAAGUGUGAGCCACCGCUCCAGGCCCCUCUGCUCUUUAGAUGUGUAGUAGUUUGAUUUUUUUGUCCUCUAGUGAUGCUGCAGCUCAGAGACAAAGGCACAGUCUUUAUCCUGAUGGGCAACACCCUGUCAUCUGGCUUCUGUGACCUCUUUGGUUUCUUGACUCUGGCACAGGGAGUGCUGUGUCAACGGGAUCUCUUCCCCUGUGGUCUCUCCUUCUGUACUUGAUUCCAUCUGAUGCUCCGUUCUCUGUUCCUGUAGAUCAGAGCUGAGGCCUCCAUACACCUACCCCUUGACCUAUUCAGGUUCCAUCCCAUUUCCUGUACUUGGAACACCUAAUUAGGAGAUGAGAAAACCCGGGCUGCUCCUCUGCAUCUGGGGCCCGGGAUACUGCACAGAGCCCUCUCUGGUUGUUCAAAUAGUUGGCUUGCCUAUUUGAAAUAGGAAAAAAGGCCGUGCGCGGUGGCUUAUGCCAUCAUUUGGAGAGGCUGAGGAGGGCAGAUCACUUGAAGUCGGGAGUUUGAGACCAGCCUGGCCAACAUGGUGAAACCUCGUUUCUACUAAAAAUACCAAAAGUAACCGGGCGUGGUGGUGGGUGUCUAUAAUCCCAGCUACUCAGGAGACUGAGGCAGAAGAAUCUCUUGAAACCAGGAGGUGGACUUUGCAGUGAGCCGAGAUUUUGACACUACACUUUGCCUUGGCGACAAAGUGAGACUCCGUCCCACCCGCCAAAAAAUAAAAAAAAAAAUAAAUUUAAAAAAGUGUUUUCCCUACUCUCUCAUGCCACUGAGCACAGAAUGCCUCCGUUCUGAUCACCAAAAUUUGUGGAUUUCUCCCCAACCACAUCUUGGAGUGCAGUGGUGUGAUCUCGGCUCACCACAACCUCCGUUUCCAGGUUGAAACGAUUCUCCUGCCUCAGCCUCCCGAGUAGCUGGCAAAGAGCAAGACCUCAUCUCAAAAUAAAAUAAAAUAUAUGAGAACAAAGUUACUCAAAGUACGAAAGGCUAAUCAGAGACUGAAAAGAAAGCAACCAUUUGUCUCUUAUCUACCUAUGUCCUGGAACCCCCCUCCCCGGCUUUGAGUUGUUCUACCUUUCCCGACUGAACCAAUGUACCUCUGACACUUACUGAUUGAUAUGACAUGUCUCCCUAAAAUGUAAGGUCUACCUAGACCAUAUUGGGCACAUGCCAUUAGGACCUCCUGAGCCUGCGUCAUGCGCAUACUCUUAACCUUGGCAAGAUAAACUUUCUAAACUGAUUGAGAUGUCUAGAUACUUGGCUCACAAACUAUUUUUAAAGUCCCAGGUGAUUUAUUUUAGCAGCUAUAAGAAAAAUCUGGGCUGGUACGGUGGCUCAUGCCUGUAAUCCCAGCACCUUGGGAGGCCAAGGCGGGCAGAUCACAAGGUCAGGAGUUCGAGACCAUCCUGGCCAAGAUGGUGAAACCCUGUCUCUAGUGAAAAUACAAAAAUUAGCGGGUGUCUUGGGCACGUGCCUCUAAUCCCAGCUACUCCGGAGGCUGAGGCUGGAGAAUCGCUUGAUCCAGGGAGUCGUGGCUUGCAGUGAGCCGAGACUGUGCCACUUCUCUCUAGCCUGGUGACAGAGCAAGACUCUGUCCAAAAAAAAGAAAAAA
This 1641-nucleotide long non-coding RNA is filed under the name Macaca fascicularis (crab-eating macaque). RNAcentral's name for it is "lncRNA (ENSMFAG00000052257.1)". The record is from RNAcentral. Lineage: Eukaryota; Metazoa; Chordata; Mammalia; Primates; Cercopithecidae.